GCCUAAAACUUACUUUCCGUUUAUGUAUUUGUUAAUCUUCGCUGGUUUGUUUGUAUAAUUUUAGGGAAAAGGGACUUUUCCUGGGGGGGGGGGAAAUGUGAUUUCGUGGGGGGGGGGGCACAAGGGGGGACUCAUUGUCCCCCCCCCCUUCAGCUUGUAUGUUAAAAAAGGCCCUGAGCACCACAAAGAUCCCUACACGAGAAACAAGAAAUACUAGUUCAACUAACGGCAUCCUACUUCAUGUAACCAAAAGUAAAACUGUUUCUUUUCAAAACAGCUUUUACAUCAGAGCUGCUAAUGUAUGGAACACGCUUCCCGGC
Molecule: non-coding RNA, 320 nt
Organism: Paramuricea clavata
Lineage: Eukaryota; Metazoa; Cnidaria; Anthozoa; Malacalcyonacea; Plexauridae
Source: the annotation of a GenBank genome assembly